GAAUUGCUAGUAAUCGCGGAUCAGCAUGCCGCGGUGAAUACGUUCCCGGGCCUUGUACACACCGCCCGUCACACCAUGGAAGUCGGUAAUGCCCGAAGUCAGUAGCCUAACCGCAAGGGGGGCGCUGCCGAAGGCAGGAUUGAUGACUGGGGUGAAGUCGUAACAAGGUAAC
This 172-nucleotide ribosomal RNA is filed under the name uncultured bacterium. RNAcentral's name for it is "partial 16S ribosomal RNA". It matches the Rfam family "Bacterial small subunit ribosomal RNA", at positions 1329 to 1500 of the family's 1533-position model. The record is from RNAcentral.